This 358-nucleotide ribosomal RNA is filed under the name Schwenckfeldina carbonaria. RNAcentral describes it as "partial 12S ribosomal RNA". The record is from RNAcentral. Lineage: Eukaryota; Metazoa; Arthropoda; Insecta; Diptera; Sciaridae.
UCAAAAUGUAAUUAUUUUAGUAUUAGAUUAGUAAUAGUUAUGUUCUUAAAAAUUAAUAAAUUUGGCGGUAUUUUAUUCUAUUCAGAGGAAUUUGUUUAAUAAUUGAUAUUACACACUAAAUCUUACUUAAUUUAUUAAAACUUGUAUAUCGUCGUCAUAUGAAUAUCUCAUAAGAGUUUAUAAAUAUUCUAAAAUUAAAAUUUUAAAUUAUGUCAGAUCAAGGUGCAGUUUAUAAUUAAGAAUAAAUGAAUUACAAUAAAUAAAUUUAAACGGAUAAGAGAUUUAAAAAUCUUUUUAAAGGUGGAUUUGAUAGUAAAGUUAUAAAUAUAAAUUAAUUGAAUAUAGUUUUAAAAUAUGC